GGGAAUGUGGCUUAGUGGUAGAGUGCUUGCCUAGCAUGCAUGAAGUCCCAGGUUUGAUUCCUUGGCACCA
This is a non-coding RNA of Dipodomys ordii (Ord's kangaroo rat), 70 nucleotides long. NCBI's taxonomy places the organism in Eukaryota, Metazoa, Chordata, Mammalia, Rodentia, Heteromyidae. The record is from Rfam.